UAUAGAAGAUUUCUUAUGACAAACAAAGUUUCGAUUAUGACCAUGGAAGAAACAUGUAAGCUUGCAGUGAUUGGGCGUCCAUGUAAAAUGUGCUCUAACCAAGUGAACUUCUUCAAAAGGAAGUGGACUAUGAAGAAAGGAUAGAUUGUUUAGACUUUGCCUGUGGAGGAAGGGAGAUUCCUGGGUGCUCAACACUUUAUGCUCAUUGCUCUGUUCAAGAAGAAUAAGAAACUCAGAGUAUGCCCAAAUAGGUUGCACCUCCUAUUUGACAUCUUGUUGGAGCAGCAAUGUCAAAGAAGAUGUACAUUAUACAAAUAUUUGAAGAGAAGUAUCUAAAUCUGGAAACUACUAGUGUGUCUACAACCUCAGAAUUCCUCACUUAAGAAAAUGUGGAUCUCAAGUCCUACCUCAUCAGAUUUAGAGUCUCACAUCUCUUUAACAGCUUUGUGUUGCACAAUGUCUAGGUUCAGGUUUCCGUUGAGGAAACAAUUUCACGAAUACACUUGCAAGGGUAUUAAAACCCCUUAUCUUUGUGGAGCCUCCAAAGAUUCACCUUUCUAAAAACUCAGUUCAUUCAUUUUAUAUUGUACAUUGUUAAAUGCAAUUUCCUUUUUACAGGAUUUCUUGCUACAACUCUCAUUGAUUUUUCAAUGAAAAUAUUGUCAAAUCUAGAAUCCUAGCCCCCUCCCUUGGUCUUCAAAACUUCAUUUCUUUAACUUGUAGAGAUUGAGGGAUGCCUUGUUCUAGUCCUUCUUGCCAAGUGAAAGGUUGUCUUCUAAGUUUUAUCAAACUUCGAAAUCAAAGAUGUUUCAAGGAGAAUGAUAGAGAUUGGCCCCAGAUUUCCCGCUUCCCCUAAAAUGAGGAUACAUCAUAAACUCAUUUUUGAACCAUAAUAAAUUCAAAUUGCAAAAAUGGAUGCAGAGCCAAUUCAACCCUAUCCUAGCCUUACAUUCAUUAAGGUAACUCUUAUUCUCAAUACACAUUUCUUACUCUUUUAUCUGCAUAGUACCUUGUAAAUUUCUCAUAUUGAUGUUGUGUUUUACCAGUGGCUCAACAAUUUGUGGAAGUCUCCAUGGAGUUAUGUUGAUAGUUUGACUAGGAAGUAAGUUAUCAGUACAAUAGUUACAAACUUAUGGGGGAGUAUUUUGUUUCUUAUCGAUCUCUCUCAUGGUCAAUGUAAGCAUCUUAAGUUCUACCUGUAAUGAAAUCUUCGUAAUUUUCUUUUAGGUGCUCUUUGAGCAGUCUUAGUUAAAGAUUUGACAUGCAAGCAUGGGAUGUAAAAUGAUAAGGGAGGGUGUUAUUUGACAACAUUUACAAAUUGGCAUGGAUGCCUUCAUUUCAAUUAAGCAUCUUUUGUGAUACCCUUCUAACCGGGUUUAAAUACAAUUUUCUAAAUCAAUAUAUAAUGCACAAAGUUUACCUUAAUAAGUGCACUUUAUGUUAAAAUAUCAAUCUUUCGUAAUCAAGGAAAUGACAAAUUUUCCUUUUAGAAAGAAUGAUGAAAAUUUUCUUUACUGUAUAGUUAUUUAUGAUCUCAAGUCAUUCCUUUAAGGUUUUCAAAUUGUCAAAAGGAAGGAUUCAAUUUUCUAUAUGUUUAAUACUCUUAUUCUGUUGACAAAAUGAGAUUUGGAUUUCACAUUGGAGACUACAAGUUUGGCCUAAAUGCAAGUAACACCUCUUUAUUUAUUUCACACAUGAUUAAAAAACUAAGUAGCAAGUGCAUAUGUCUAACUUCCAUUUAUUUAUUCUACAGUUUCUACAACACACCACGUUCUUAUGUCUCUUGGAAAGUUAAGAACCUUGUUUAAAAUAUGGUAUGCCUUCCAUGCUAAGAAGUCUUUUGCUCCGUGAUUGUGGUGGCUCGAAUAGCAACUUGCAUCUGUUUUGAUACAUGGAGAACUCAAGAGAACAUAUGGAUUCAUUAGCAAGAAUUUCAUCCAACAUACAAGCUUUUAGGUGAGUGAUGUACACUGAAAAUUUUUCUAUUUUGUUUGGUUUGAAAUGCUCUUCAAUUUUAAACCAACAUACUGUUAUUUGUUUGCAACAUGUUAUAUUUGUAGAAAAUUAUCUUAUCUAGAUUUAGACUGCAGAUUUGAAUAAUGUUUGAGGUGAAAGAAACUUUUUGGCAUGUCCUGCUGUCUUGAGUUGUGCAAGUCAGAGGCUCGAAGAGCACAAACUCUUAUGACCGGAAGAAAGACGUUUGAGUUCUCAUUCUAUGUUGGAGAUUGGAGAUGAGAUUACAACAUGAUCUCAUGUCCUUGGCAAUUUGUAGAUUGAGGGUUUUCAAAAGGCUUUGCCCCAAUACCAGUAAAAGAAGAACUGCCACGGAAGCAACUAACAUUGGUACCUUGUAUCUCAAGUUUCAUAGAGAGUUGAUAAUUGAAUUGGUGCCCAAUCUUUUUCCCAAGAUAGGUGCGUUAUCCUUGCCAAGUGGAUGCCCUAUUCAAAUUAUAGGGCUUUGGAUUCCUUAAUGAUUGGAAUGAUCUCUGGAAUUCUUGCAUAUUUCUAAAUGUCAUGGAACAUCUUUCCAACAGGCUAACUUCCUUCAGUGCUCUAAAUUGUGGAGAUCACGAGUUGCUAAAAUUUGUGGUCUGGAUUAGAGAAGGAUUGUUUGAUGCUUUCAGUACUAGCUACAUCUCUUGUCCUUGCAACUACAUAUCUUUUAAUCCCCUCUGGUGAGAAAAGAAUAAAAAACAUAAACAAGUUGCCUCAUGAUGACUCAUAUUCAUAAUGUUCUAGUUGAUGAUGUACCUUCCUAAGAUUGAAGAGUGAGAAAUGUCAAAGACAUCCCUUAUAUGAGUGAGGCCUUCAUAGACUCAUGAUUCUCAAACAACUCAUCAUGAUUGAUAAUAUAUUUAAGAUGUGUUUCUUCUCAAAUGACCAAGGCCUGCCCUUUCUUCCAAUGUAUCUCAUGUAUAUUUUCAUGUAAAGAUUCCAGAAUCCCUGACUUUUCUAUAUCACCAAGACCUCACCUAAGCUCUAGUUGUAUUUGUCAACUGAAGGAGAACCUUGUCAUGGUUUCAGAGCUAUACAUCAGUUCCAAAUCCAAUGAUGAGACAUCAAUUCAAGAUUGCCCACAUCUCCUAUUUGGAAAUAGAUGGAGAGAUCCAUCUUUGAUCCAUUAGAUUCCAAAAAUGGAAGCACAGAGAGUUCACCCUAUCCUAUCCAUAUAUUUAGUAAGUUUCAUUUAUUCCCAACACAUAAUUCUUACAUUUUAUCUUCUUAUUACAAGUAUAAAGUCAUACUGUUGAAAUUUUCUACAAGUUCAACUACUAGAGAAUCCCUACAUUGAACCUUUUUGUUGAAAACUUGACUAGGGAGCAACGUCUUGACAGCAGUUACAAGCUUUAUGGUUUCACAUUUGCUAUUCAAAGUUUGUUCCUCUUGUUGGUCCUCCCACAGUCCCAUGUAUAGUAAUGUGCCAAUUGGAUAUCUAGAAGUUAUAUGGUUUAAUGAAUUAGAAGCUACCAAGUGGGUGCACAACUUCAAGCCUUUUCGAUAGCUAAUAAUUGAUGGUUGCAUGCCCAAGACACCUCUUUCCUAUGGAUAGGUUUCUCAUUCAAGGUAAGAAGGCUGACAGUUCAAAAUUGUAUAUAGGGCUUUGGGGUUCCCCAAUAUCAGUGGAGGAAGACAAUCUACCACAAAAACAACUAGCAGUUUUGAUUGAAUUGGUGUCUCAAGUCUUCCAAAGAACUCAGAAUUGAGUUGGUGCUCAAGACAGUUUACUUCCGCAAGAUUGAAUUGGGGAUUCUUUCGAUGAUGGGUUGUCCAAAUUCACUUUCAGCAUAACUCCUAGUUCAUUCAGGUGUAGUGAUAUUGGUAGUUGGAUAUCUACAAUUCAUAUGGUGCAAUCUAUACGAAACUACCAUGAGGGUGCACAAUCUCGAGUCUAUUAGAGAGAUGGUUGCAUAUGCACAAGACACAUCUGUUUUCCAGGGAUAGAUUUGUAUACAUCUUUUGGAGUUGCUAUUGAUUGGAAUGAUUCAAAAGUAGCAACAAGCCUCUGGAAUUCUUUCAGAUUUCUAGAUGCUCCCUUUCCAUGUCUUUCCAAGAAGCCAACUUCCUGCAAUCCUAAUGAAGGUGGAGAUUUUGAGUUGCUCAAAUGUGGAGUUCAGACUAAAUGAAUGUUGUCAAAUGCAAAAGAAGAACAUCACGUCUUUUGAAUAUCGGUGGUGGAGAAGGGGAUAAUGCACCACAACACAUUUCUUGUACAUCUUACAAUGAUGCUCUCUCACAAUGAUCAAAAGAACAUAGUCAAAACUAAGCAAUGAUAUGGUUUUGCCUCAAGGAGGAAGGAGAGGGAGCAGAGAGGAAGCAAUCCAAUGGAAAGAUGCAUCAAAUUGUUGUCUUGACAAGGGGAUGAAGAGAAGGAGAACACAAGAUGCUGCUUAUUGGUAACAUGAAGUCCUCAUGAAGACAAAUUGUUUGGCUUGACCAAGAGAGGAAGAAAUAGAAAAAAGAACCCAAGGUUCAUCAGAGGACAUUGGUGUGACAAUUCACCCAUGUAAAUUUGGACAAGUAGCUCUAUUGAAAAAUGUUCACAUGACAUACCCAUCAGUGCUACACUUCUGCAAUUUCCUUAAACUGUCAUGCCACAAACUGUGUGGAUCAAUACACUAUGCUAUCAUAAUAGUAAUCCAUAAUUGCUUCCCAAUUUUACAUGAUCAAAGAGGAAGAUAUUCAUAA
Molecule: long non-coding RNA, 4686 nt
Organism: Vitis vinifera (wine grape)
Lineage: Eukaryota; Viridiplantae; Streptophyta; Magnoliopsida; Vitales; Vitaceae
Exons: 9
Source: RefSeq, a predicted model, not a curated record